AUUGAACGCUGGCGGCAUGCCUUACACAUGCAAGUCGAACGGCAGCACGGGAGCAAUCCUGGUGGCGAGUGGCGAACGGGUGAGUAAAGUAUCGGAACGUGCCCAGUCGUGGGGGAUAACGUAGCGAAAGAUACGCUAAUACCGCAUACGAUCUAUGGAUGAAAGCGGGGGAUCGCAAGACCUCGCGCGAUUGGAGCGGCCGAUAGCAGAUUAGGUAGUUGGUGGGGUAAAGGCUCACCAAGCCGACGAUCUGUAGCUGGUCUGAGAGGACGACCAGCCACGCUGGGACUGAGACACGGCCCAGACUCCUACGGGAGGCAGCAGUGGGGAAUUUUGGACAAUGGGCGAAAGCCUGAUCCAGCCAUGCCGCGUGCAGGAUGAAGGCCUUCGGGUUGUAAACUGCUUUUGUACGGAACGAAAAGGUUUGGCCUAAUAAGCUGAGCUCAUGACGGUACCGUAAGAAUAAGCACCGGCUAACUACGUGCCAGCCGCCGCCGUAA
RNAcentral lists this ribosomal RNA (500 nucleotides) under uncultured bacterium. RNAcentral's name for it is "partial 16S ribosomal RNA". It matches the Rfam family "Bacterial small subunit ribosomal RNA", at positions 30 to 523 of the family's 1533-position model. The record is from RNAcentral.